This 497-nucleotide ribosomal RNA is filed under the name uncultured bacterium. RNAcentral's name for it is "partial 16S ribosomal RNA". It matches the Rfam family "Bacterial small subunit ribosomal RNA", at positions 28 to 507 of the family's 1533-position model. The record is from RNAcentral.
GACGAACGCUGGCGGCGUGCCUAAUACAUGCAAGUUGAGCGAUGAAGAUUGGUGCUUGCACCAAUUUGAAGAGCAGCGAACGGGUGAGUAACGCGUGGGGAAUCUGCCUUUGAGCGGGGGACAACAUUUGGAAACGAAUGCUAAUACCGCAUAACAACUUUAAACAUAAGUUUUAAGUUUGAAAGAUGCAAUUGCAUCACUCAAAGAUGAUCCCGCGUUGUAUUAGCUAGUUGGUGAGGUAAAGGCUCACCAAGGCGAUGAUACAUAGCCGACCUGAGAGGGGGAUCGGCCACAUUGGGACUGAGACACGGCCCAAACUCCUACGGGAGGCAGCAGUAGGGAAUCUUCGGCAAUGGACGAAAGUCUGACCGAGCAACGCCGCGGGAGUGAAGAAGGUUUUCGGAUCGUAAAACUCUGUUGGUAGAGAAGAACGUUGGUGAGAGUGGAAAGCUCAUCAAGUGACGGUAACUACCCAGAAAGGGACGGCUAACUACGUG